This 884-nucleotide ribosomal RNA is filed under the name Harknessia proteae. Its description in RNAcentral is "eukaryotic LSU rRNA". It matches the Rfam family "Eukaryotic large subunit ribosomal RNA", at positions 49 to 963 of the family's 3401-position model. Lineage: Eukaryota; Fungi; Ascomycota; Sordariomycetes; Diaporthales; Harknessiaceae. The record is from RNAcentral.
AGCGGAGGAAAAGAAACCAACAGGGAUUGCCCUAGUAACGGCGAGUGAAGCGGCAACAGCUCAAAUUUGAAAUCUGGCCUCGGCCCGAGUUGUAAUUUGCAGAGGAUGUUUCUGGCGCGGUGCCUUCCGAGUUCCCUGGAACGGGACGCCACAGAGGGUGAGAGCCCCGUAUGGUUGGACACCAAGCCUGUGUGAAACUCCUUCGACGAGUCGAGUAGUUUGGGAAUGCUGCUCUAAAUGGGAGGUAAAUCUCUUCUAAAGCUAAAUACCGGCCAGAGACCGAUAGCGCACAAGUAGAGUGAUCGAAAGAUGAAAAGCACCUUGAAAAGGGGGUUAAACAGUACGUGAAAUUGUUGAAAGGGAAGCGCUCAUGACCAGACUUGUGCCGGGCGGUUCAUCCGGGGUUCUCCCCGGUGCACUCCGCCCGGCUCAGGCCAGCAUCGGUUCUCGUUGGGGGAUAAGAACGGUAGGAACGUGGCCCUCCCUCGGGAGGGUGUUAUAGCCUGCCGUACGAUACCCUGAUGGGGACCGAGGUUCGCGCUCCGCAAGGAUGCUGGCGUAAUGGUCAUCAGCGACCCGUCUUGAAACACGGACCAAGGAGUCGUCCAUUAGAGCGAGCGUUUGGGUGUAAAACCCGCACGCGUAAUGAAAGUGAAAUUAGGUGAGAGCUUCGGCGCAUCAUCGACCGAUCCUGAUGUUCUCGGAUGGAUUUGAGUAAGAGUUUUAACGGACGGACCCGAAAGACAGUGAACUAUGCUUGUAUAGGGUGAAGCCAGAGGAAACUCUGGUGGAGGCUCGCAGCGGUUCUGACGUGCAAAUCGAUCGUCAAAUAUGAGCAUGGGGGCGAAAGACUAAUCGAACUGUCUAGUAGCUGGUUACCGCCG